GGUUAAGCGACUAAGCGUACACGGUGGAUGCCCUGGCAGUCAGAGGCGAUGAAGGACGUGCUAAUCUGCGAAAAGCGUCGGUAAGGUGAUAUGAACCGUUAUAGCCGGCGAUGUCCGAAUGGGGAAACCCAGUGCAAUUCGUUGCACUAUCGUUAACUGAAUACAUAGGUUAACGAGGCGAACCGGGGGAACUGAAACAUCUAAGUACCCCGAGGAAAAGAAAUCAACCGAGAUUCCCCCAGUAGCGGCGAGCGAACGGGGAGCAGCCCGGAGUCUGAAUCAGCUUGUGUGUUAGUGGAAGCGUCUGGAAAGUCGCAGGGUACAGGGUGAUACUCCCGUACACUAAAACACACAGGUUGUGAACUCGAAGAGUAGGGCGGGACACGUGGUAUCCUGUCUGAAUAUGGGGGGACCAUCCUCCAAGGCUAAAUACUCCUGACUGACCGAUAGUGAACCAGUACCGUGAGGGAAAGGCGAAAAGAACCCCGGCGAGGGGAGUGAAAAAGAACCUGAAACCGUGUACGUACAAGCAGUAGGAGCCCACUAGUUGGGUGACUGCGUACCUUUUGUAUAAUGGGUCAGCGACUUAUAUUCUGUAGCAAGGUUAACCGUAUAGGGGAGCCGCAGGGAAACCGAGUCUUAACUGGGCGUUAAGUUGCAGGGUAUAGACCCGAAACCCGGUGAUCUAGCCAUGGGCAGGUUGAAGGUUGGGUAACACUAACUGGAGGACCGAACCGACUAAUGUUGAAAAAUUAGCGGAUGACUUGUGGCUGGGGGUGAAAGGCCAAUCAAACCGGGAGAUAGCUGGUUCUCCCCGAAAGCUAUUUAGGUAGCGCCUCGUGAAUUCAUCUUCGGGGGUAGAGCACUGUUUCGGCUAGGGGGUCAUCCCGACUUACCAACCCGAUGCAAACUACGAAUACCGAAGAAUGUUAUCACGGGAGACACACGGCGGGUGCUAACGUCCGUCGUGAAGAGGGAAACAACCCAGACCGCCAGCUAAGGUCCCAAAGUCAUGGUUAAGUGGGAAACGAUGUGGGAAGGCCCAGACAGCCAGGAUGUUGGCUUAGAAGCAGCCAUCAUUUAAAGAAAGCGUAAUAGCUCACUGGUCGAGUCGGCCUGCGCGGAAGAUGUAACGGGGCUAAACCAUGCACCGAAGCUGCGGCAGCGACACUAUGUGUUGUUGGGUAGGGGAGCGUUCUGUAAGCCGUUGAAGGUGGCCUGUGAGGGUUGCUGGAGGUAUCAGAAGUGCGAAUGCUGACAUAAGUAACGAUAAUGCGGGUGAAAAACCCGCACGCCGGAAGACCAAGGGUUCCUGUCCAACGUUAAUCGGGGCAGGGUGAGUCGACCCCUAAGGCGAGGCCGAAAGGCGUAGUCGAUGGGAAACAGGUUAAUAUUCCUGUACUCGGUGUUACUGCGAAGGGGGGACGGAGAAGGCUAUGUUGGCCGGGCGACGGUUGUCCCGGUUUAAGCAUGUAGGCGGAUGUUCCAGGUAAAUCCGGAACGUUAUUAACGCUGAGGUGUGAUGACGAGGCACUACGGUGCUGAAGUGACAAAUGCCCUGCUUCCAGGAAAAGCCUCUAAGCAUCAGGUAACAUCAAAUCGUACCCCAAACCGACACAGGUGGUCAGGUAGAGAAUACCAAGGCGCUUGAGAGAACUCGGGUGAAGGAACUAGGCAAAAUGGUGCCGUAACUUCGGGAGAAGGCACGCUGAUGGUAGGUGAAGCGACUUGCUCGUGGAGCUGAAAUCAGUCGAAGAUACCAGCUGGCUGCAACUGUUUAUUAAAAACACAGCACUGUGCAAACACGAAAGUGGACGUAUACGGUGUGACGCCUGCCCGGUGCCGGAAGGUUAAUUGAUGGGGUUAUCCGUAAGGAGAAGCUCUUGAUCGAAGCCCCGGUAAACGGCGGCCGUAACUAUAACGGUCCUAAGGUAGCGAAAUUCCUUGUCGGGUAAGUUCCGACCUGCACGAAUGGCGUAAUGAUGGCCAGGCUGUCUCCACCCGAGACUCAGUGAAAUUGAACUCGCUGUGAAGAUGCAGUGUACCCGCGGCAAGACGGAAAGACCCCGUGAACCUUUACUAUAGCUUGACACUGAACACUGGUCCUUGAUGUGUAGGAUAGGUGGGAGGCUUUGAAGUGUGGACGCCAGUCUGCAUGGAGCCAUCCUUGAAAUACCACCCUUUAAUGGCUGGUGUUCUAACGUGGGCCCCUAAUCGGGGUUGCGGACAGUGUCUGGUGGGUAGUUUGACUGGGGCGGUCUCCUCCUAAAGAGUAACGGAGGAGCACGAAGGUCAGCUAAUCCUGGUCGGACAUCAGGAGGUUAGUGCAAUGGCAUAAGCUGGCUUGACUGCGAGCGUGACGGCGCGAGCAGGUGCGAAAGCAGGUCAUAGUGAUCCGGUGGUUCUGAAUGGAAGGGCCAUCGCUCAACGGAUAAAAGGUACUCCGGGGAUAACAGGCUGAUACCGCCCAAGAGUUCAUAUCGACGGCGGUGUUUGGCACCUCGAUGUCGGCUCAUCACAUCCUGGGGCUGAAGUAGGUCCCAAGGGUAUGGCUGUUCGCCAUUUAAAGUGGUACGCGAGCUGGGUUUAGAACGUCGUGAGACAGUUCGGUCCCUAUCUGCCGUGGGCGCUGGAGAAUUGAGGGGGGCUGCUCCUAGUACGAGAGGACCGGAGUGGACGCAUCACUGGUGUUCGGGUUGUCAUGCCAAUGGCAUUGCCCGGUAGCUAAAUGCGGAAGAGAUAAGUGCUGAAAGCAUCUAAGCACGAAACUUGCCCCGAGAUGAGUUCUCCCUGACUCCUUGAGAGUCCUGAAGGAACGUUGAAGACGACGACGUUGAUAGGCCGGGUGUGUAAGCGCAGCGAUGCGUUGAGCUAACCGGUACUAAUGAACCGUGAGGCUUAACCUU
RNAcentral lists this ribosomal RNA (2906 nucleotides) under Klebsiella michiganensis. RNAcentral describes it as "23S ribosomal RNA". It matches the Rfam family "Bacterial large subunit ribosomal RNA". Lineage: Bacteria; Pseudomonadati; Pseudomonadota; Gammaproteobacteria; Enterobacterales; Enterobacteriaceae. The record is from RNAcentral.